RNAcentral lists this transfer RNA (71 nucleotides) under Marmota monax (woodchuck). Its description in RNAcentral is "tRNA.Val". The record is from RNAcentral. Lineage: Eukaryota; Metazoa; Chordata; Mammalia; Rodentia; Sciuridae.
GAGGUUGUGGCUCAGCGGGAGAGUACUUGCCUCACAUGUGUGAGGCACUGGGUUCAAUUCUCAGCACCACA